RNAcentral lists this ribosomal RNA (473 nucleotides) under uncultured bacterium. Its description in RNAcentral is "bacterial SSU rRNA". It matches the Rfam family "Bacterial small subunit ribosomal RNA", at positions 30 to 496 of the family's 1533-position model. The record is from RNAcentral.
AUUGAACGCUGGCGGCAUGCCUUACACAUGCAAGUCGAACGGCAGCACGGGAGCAAUCCUGGUGGCGAGUGGCGAACGGGUGAGUAAUGUAUCGGAACGUACCUUUCAGUGGGGGAUAACGUAGCGAAAGUUACGCUAAUACCGCAUAUUCUGUGAGCAGGAAAGCAGGGGAUCGCAAGACCUUGCGCUGAUUGAGCGGCCGAUAUCAGAUUAGCUAGUUGGUGAGGUAAAGGCUCACCAAGGCGACGAUCUGUAGCGGGUCUGAGAGGAUGAUCCGCCACACUGGAACUGAGACACGGUCCAGACUCCUACGGGAGGCAGCAGUGGGGGAUAUUGGACAAUGGGCGAAAGCCUGAUCCAGCAAUGCCGCGUGUGUGAAGAAGGCCUGAGGGUUGUAAAGCACUUUCAAUCGUGAAGAAAAGUUGCAGGCUAAUACCCUGUGACCUUGACGUUAACGAUACAAGAAGCACCGG